Molecule: ribosomal RNA, 403 nt
Filed under: Fusobacteriota bacterium
Lineage: Bacteria; Fusobacteriati; Fusobacteriota
Description: Fusobacteria bacterium partial 16S ribosomal RNA
Rfam family: Bacterial small subunit ribosomal RNA
Source: RNAcentral
UGGGGAAUAUUGCACAAUGGAGGGAACUCUGAUGCAGCGACGCCGCGUGAACGAAGAAGGCUUUCGAGUCGUAAAGUUCUUUUAUAUGGGAAGAUAAUGACGGUACCAUAAGAAAAAGCCCCGGCUAACUACGUGCCAGCAGCCGCGGUAAUACGUAGGGGGCUAGCGUUGUCCGGAAUCACUGGGCGUAAAGGGUUCGCAGGCGGAAAUGCAAGUCAGGUGUAAAAGGCAGUAGCUUAACUACUGUAAGCAUUUGAAACUGCAUAUCUUGAGAAGAGUAGACGUAAGUGGUAUUUUUAGUGUAGCGGUGAAAUGCGUAGAUAUUAAAAAGAAUACCGGUGGCGAAGGCGACUUACUGGGCUCAUUCUGACGCUGAGGAACGAAAGCGUGGGUAGCAAACAGG